RNAcentral lists this ribosomal RNA (635 nucleotides) under uncultured Marinobacter sp. RNAcentral's name for it is "bacterial SSU rRNA". It matches the Rfam family "Bacterial small subunit ribosomal RNA", at positions 870 to 1504 of the family's 1533-position model. Lineage: Bacteria; Pseudomonadati; Pseudomonadota; Gammaproteobacteria; Pseudomonadales; Marinobacteraceae. The record is from RNAcentral.
CGCCUGGGGAGUACGGCCGCAAGGUUAAAACUCAAAUGAAUUGACGGGGGCCCGCACAAGCGGUGGAGCAUGUGGUUUAAUUCGACGCAACGCGAAGAACCUUACCUGGCCUUGACAUCCAGAGAACUUUCCAGAGAUGGAUUGGUGCCUUCGGGAACUCUGAGACAGGUGCUGCAUGGCCGUCGUCAGCUCGUGUCGUGAGAUGUUGGGUUAAGUCCCGUAACGAGCGCAACCCCUAUCCCUGGUUGCUAGCAGGUAAUGCUGAGAACUCCAGGGAGACUGCCGGUGACAAACCGGAGGAAGGUGGGGAUGACGUCAGGUCAUCAUGGCCCUUACGGCCAGGGCUACACACGUGCUACAAUGGCGCGUACAGAGGGCUGCCAACUCGCGAGAGUGAGCCAAUCCCUUAAAACGCGUCGUAGUCCGGAUCGGAGUCUGCAACUCGACUCCGUGAAGUCGGAAUCGCUAGUAAUCGCGAAUCAGAAUGUCGCGGUGAAUACGUUCCCGGGCCUUGUACACACCGCCCGUCACACCAUGGGAGUGGAUUGCACCAGAAGUAGUUAGUCUAACCUUCGGGAGGACGAUUACCACGGUGUGGUUCAUGACUGGGGUGAAGUCGUAACAAGGUAACCGUA